UACGAAGGGGGCUAGCGUUGCUCGGAAUUACUGGGCGUAAAGCGUGCGUAGACGGUUACAUAAGUCGGGUGUGAAAGCCCCGGGCUCAACCUGGGAAUUGCAUUCGAGACUGCGUAGCUAGGGUACGGAAGAGGGAGGCGGAAUUUCAGGUGUAGCGGUGAAAUGCGUAGAUAUCUGAAGGAACACCAGUGGCGAAAGCGGCCUCCUGGUCCAGUACCGACGUUCAGGCACGAAAGCGUGGGGAGCAAACAGG
Molecule: ribosomal RNA, 253 nt
Filed under: uncultured bacterium
Lineage: Bacteria
Description: partial 16S ribosomal RNA
Rfam family: Bacterial small subunit ribosomal RNA
Source: RNAcentral